Molecule: ribosomal RNA, 255 nt
Filed under: uncultured bacterium
Lineage: Bacteria
Description: partial 16S ribosomal RNA
Rfam family: Bacterial small subunit ribosomal RNA
Source: RNAcentral
GUCCACGCCUAACGAUGCUAACUCGAUGUUCGGCCGUAAGGCGGAGCAUCCAAGCAAAUGCGAUAAGUUAGCCACCUGGGAGUACGCCCGCAAGGGUGAACUCAAAGGAAUUGACGGGGUCCGCACAAGCGGUGGAGCAUGUGGUUUAAUUCGAUGGUACGCGAGGAACCUUACCUGGGCUAGAAUGUGAGUGAAUUCUGGUGAAAGCUGGAAGGCCCGCAAGGGACACAAAACAAGGUGCUGCAUGGCUGUCGU